Non-coding RNA from Biomphalaria glabrata, 72 nucleotides. NCBI's taxonomy places the organism in Eukaryota, Metazoa, Mollusca, Gastropoda, Planorbidae. The record is from Rfam.
GACUCUGUGGCACAACGGUAGCGCGUCUGACUCCAGAUCAGAAGGUUGCGUGUUCAAAUCACGUCAGGGUCA